ACGGGACUAGCUCAGUUGGUAGAGCACCGGUCUCCAAAACCGGGUGUCGGGAGUUCGAGUCUCUCGUCCCGUGCUA
RNAcentral lists this transfer RNA (76 nucleotides) under Bacteroidales bacterium. RNAcentral describes it as "tRNA-Trp". It matches the Rfam family "tRNA". From Rfam's summary of the family: Transfer RNA (tRNA) molecules are approximately 80 nucleotides in length. Their secondary structure includes four short double-helical elements and three loops (D, anti-codon, and T loops). Lineage: Bacteria; Pseudomonadati; Bacteroidota; Bacteroidia; Bacteroidales. The record is from RNAcentral. RNAcentral also lists the same sequence under 5 other names.